Non-coding RNA from Rattus norvegicus (Norway rat), 1257 nucleotides. The record is from RefSeq and is a predicted model, not a curated record. NCBI's taxonomy places the organism in Eukaryota, Metazoa, Chordata, Mammalia, Rodentia, Muridae.
GCCAGUUUCCAGGAAAAAAAAAAUUCAUGGACUACCCGAAGAAUUGUAGACCUGAGCAUGGGCCGGGUAUCCCACUCAUUCAUGGUCAUCCCUGACUGCCCCUAGCCCUUGCUCAGGAGAGAUUUGCUCUCCAAAAUGGUUUACGUGGGCUGAAAUGGCUGGGCAAGGCCAUGUGUAUGCAUAUCUGCAGGCUGUGUAUGUGGAGCGUAAGACCCAGGCUGACCCUGUCUCAGUGCACCAGUACCUGAUGUUGUGGGAGGCAUGAGAAGGAAGUAAGCCACACAUCCUUCGGCUCCUCCAGCUUGAGGUGGUCUUAGUGUCAUUGUGCCUGGAACACACCACACUGCUCCUGCCAGGUUGGGCACUAACAAUUAUCACCCAGCCCAGAACUUUAGAAAGAUAAACGGUGGUAGAAUGGCUGACUUCUGCACUACUGUGCCUAAACCCUACACUCUGAGUUCUUCGCCGCCUUCCAGAAUUUGGUACACCAUUUUAGACUUGAAAGGUGCUUUCUUCUGCCUGAACUGGGUACCCCAAAGUCAAAAAUGCUUUGCCUUUGAAUGGAAGGACCCAGAAGAUGGGACCACUGAUCAGCUGACAGGGACUAGAUUCUCCACCGGUUGGGGGCAAUCUGGUCACUUUGUUGCCCAAUCCUGGCCUGGAGCCACCACAACACGAGUGUCAAGUACUGGCAGAAGCCCAUGGGUGGAGGGAAGACCUCUCCACCUGAGCGUUUGACCCUCCUGAAUGCUAAGGCUACCUUGUUUACAGACAGGAACAGUUCUCUUCAUGAAGGUCAGAGAUGAUUGGGUGCUGCUGUGGUGGACAACACAAAUGUCAUCUGGAAUGGCUGAACGUCUACCCCCAGCACAGCAGCACAAGUGUCUUUGCCAUCUCUUGGAUGCCCUGAUGAAGCCAGCAACUUGUUUGUAGAUACUUUCUCUGGAUGAGUUGAGGCUUUCCCCACCAAGCAAGAAACAGCUACCAUGGCAGCCAAGAAGAUAUUAGAAGAAAUCUUUUGGAGAUCUGGGGUCCCCAAGGUAAUUGGAUCAGACAACGGUCCUGCUUUUACUUCUAAGAGAGGGACUUCCUAGUUUCUUCCUUCCAAUUCCACUGGGCUCUUCCCUCCCUCAAGACUCUUGUGAAGAGAAUGGGAAUCUCCGUGUGUCCCCUCGCUCCAUUCAAGCGGAACCUGAAACACAGUGCACACUCUUGAAUCCAUCCUUACACGUUCAGUAUGGGUCUCAUCCAAUUCAG